UUAUUAUAGAGAGUGUACUGAAAAAUCAUACAGGAACGGAGGACGACGUGUGCCAGGCAAUAAAAAAAAUUUUAAAAUAUGCGCCUGAUCGAAAAGGUGGCAGCGGGAGAAAGUAAAAACAUAGUUGAUACAAAAUAACGACCAUGGUUUGGAAGGCCGGUAAACUUCAAAGAGUCACUUACUCAAACUUUAACUGAUGUUGAAAUCUGGGUAAACGAGAGUGCACAAAUGUUAUCUUGCGUUGAUAUAAUAUUAGUAUA
Paramuricea clavata is the source of this 260-nucleotide non-coding RNA. Lineage: Eukaryota; Metazoa; Cnidaria; Anthozoa; Malacalcyonacea; Plexauridae. The record is from the annotation of a GenBank genome assembly.